GCUGCUAUUGUGUAAUUGGUACACACACUGCUCUUAUAAAGCAGUGUUCGAUCAUCUCGGUUCGACUCCGAGUAGUGGCA
Molecule: transfer RNA, 80 nt
Filed under: Punica granatum (pomegranate)
Lineage: Eukaryota; Viridiplantae; Streptophyta; Magnoliopsida; Myrtales; Lythraceae
Rfam family: tRNA
About the family: Transfer RNA (tRNA) molecules are approximately 80 nucleotides in length. Their secondary structure includes four short double-helical elements and three loops (D, anti-codon, and T loops).
Source: Rfam by way of RNAcentral